GUGUGUAUAAGCCUUUACAUAGUGAAACUGCGAACGGCUCAAUAACCCAGUUGUUGACGAUGUAGCUAUCGUUUGAUACAUGGAUACCGGCGGUAAUUCUGGAGCUAAUACGCGAUUAAUAACCUGACGUUUUCGAAUGGUUGUAAUUAUUAGUGUUGAACUUAAAUCGGAUUUCUCUGAACUUGAAUAAACAAUGAUAAUCUAAUUGAUCGCAUAGCAUUUGCUGGCGAUAUACUAUUCGUGCUUUUGACCUAUCAGCUUCUGACGGUAGGGUAUUUGCCUACAGUUGCAUUGACGGGUGACGGAGGAUUAGGGUUCGAUUCCGGAGAGGGAGCACGAGAAACGGCUUCCACAUCUAAGGAAUGCAGCAGGCACGCAAAUUACCCAAUCCUAAUGCAGGGGGGUAGUGACAAUAAAUAACAAUACAGGGCAUUACCGUCUUGUAGUUGGAAUGAAUCAAAACCAAGCCAUUUGAUGAGUAUCGAUUGGAGGGCAAGUCUGGUGCCAGCAGCCGCGGUAAUUCCAGCUCCAAUAGCGUAUAUUAAAGUUGUUGUGGUUAAACUGCUCGUAGUUGUGUUUCUGUCGCGGGCCGAUCGGUCCGCCCCUGGGGUGGGUACAUCGAUCGGCCUCGGCAUGAAUCUGGAUACUGUUGCUUACACUCUGUGUAACACAUGUGUUCAAACCAUUUACUUUGAGGAAAUUAAAGUGUUUCGAGCGUGCGCAUGCACCGAACACGAUAGCAUGGAAUAGCAAUAUCUGAUCGCCGUGAUAUAUAUUGUUGGUUUUUUGAGCUGCAGUAAUGACGGAUAGGGAUAAUUGGUGGCAUUUGUAUUUUGCAGUCAGAGGUGAAAUUCUUGGAUUUGCUAAAGACGAGCUUCUGCGAAAGCAUUUGUCAAGUAUGUUUUCUUUGAUCAAGAACUAAAGUUAGGGGAUCGAAGACGAUCAGAUACCGUCCUAGUCUUAACAAUAAACAAUGCCGGCUAGGAAUUGAAGGCUUUCAAUAAUACGAUCCCUUCAGCGCUUUAUGAUAAAUCAAAGCAUUUGGGUUCCGGGGGGAGUAUGGUCGCAAGGCUGAAACUUAAAGGAAUUGACGGAAGGGCACCACCAGGAGUGGAGCCUGCGGCUUAAUUUGACUCAACACGGGGAAACUUACCAGGUCCUGACAUAGUAAGGAUUGACGGAAUGAUUGUUUUUUCUUGAUUAUAUGGGUGGUGGUGCAUGGCCGUUCUUAGUUGGUGGAGUGAUUUGUCUGGUUAAUCUCGUUAACGAACGAGACCUUAGCCUGCUAAACAAUUAGACAUAACUUAGGCUAUGUUGGAAAUUCCUUAGAGGGACGUUGUGCGUUAGUGCAAUGAAGUUUUAGUCAAUAACAGGUCUGUGAUGCCCUUCGAUGUUCUGGGCUGCACGCGCGCUACACUGAUGCACUCAGAAAGUUAUCGACUGCGUUUGGAAAAAUGAAGUAACCAGAAGAACUUGCAUCGUGAUGGGGAUCGACUAUUGCAAUUCUUAGUCGUCAACGAGGAAUUCCUAAUAUGUGCAAGUAAUCAGCUUGUGUUGAUUACGUCCCUGCCCUUUGUACACACCGCCCGUCGCUUCCUUACCGAUCGAAUGAUCCCGGUAAUGAUCAGACUGGCAGCAUUCGCUGAAUCCCUCCGGGUA
Molecule: ribosomal RNA, 1659 nt
Filed under: uncultured dinoflagellate
Lineage: Eukaryota; Dinophyceae
Description: SSU rRNA
Rfam family: Eukaryotic small subunit ribosomal RNA
Source: RNAcentral